GACGUGGUGGAACUGGUAGACACACUAUCUUGAGGGGGUAGCGGCGAGAGUCGUGCCGGUUCGAGUCCGGCCGUCGGCACCA
This 82-nucleotide transfer RNA is filed under the name Desulfobulbaceae bacterium A2. RNAcentral describes it as "tRNA-Leu". It matches the Rfam family "tRNA". Rfam says of the family: Transfer RNA (tRNA) molecules are approximately 80 nucleotides in length. Lineage: Bacteria; Pseudomonadati; Thermodesulfobacteriota; Desulfobulbia; Desulfobulbales; Desulfobulbaceae. The record is from RNAcentral.